RNAcentral lists this ribosomal RNA (467 nucleotides) under uncultured bacterium. RNAcentral describes it as "partial 16S ribosomal RNA". It matches the Rfam family "Bacterial small subunit ribosomal RNA", at positions 29 to 507 of the family's 1533-position model. The record is from RNAcentral.
ACGAACGCUGGCGGCGCGCCUAACACAUGCAAGUCGAACGGAGCUGAGAGAAGCUUGCUUUUCUUAGCUUAGUGGCGAACGGGUGAGUAACGCGUGAGUAACCUGCCCUGGAGUGGGGGACAACAGUUGGAAACGACUGCUAAUACCGCAUAAGCCCACGAUCCGGCAUCGGAUUGAGGGAAAAGGAUUUAUUCGCUUCAGGAUGGACUCGCGUCCAAUUAGCUAGUUGGUGAGGUAACGGCCCACCAAGGCGACGAUUGGUAGCCGGACUGAGAGGUUGAACGGCCACGUUGGGACUGAGACACGGCCCAGACUCCUACGGGAGGCAGCAGUGGGGGAUAUUGCACAAUGGGGGAAACCCUGAUGCAGCGACGCCGCGUGGAGGAAGAAGGUUUUCGGAUUGUAAACUCCUGUCGUUAGGAACGAUAAUGACGGUACCUAACAAGAAAGCACCGGCUAACUACGUG